UUGAGGUCUUCUGAAGAAGUAUUACAGUGGGUCAGCGUGUGUUCCUUCAGUUCUCUCAUAAUUUCGUCUUCCUUUCCUCGUGUUGUCUUUGUCCUCUCUUUCUGUGUCCCUGUACUCUCUUGUUAUGGAGUCCUCCCAGUUUACUGGGGAUAAUGCUGAAGAGUGCAACAGUAACGAAUCUGGGUGGACGAUGUACCUGGGCUCCCCAGUGAAUAGUGAUGAUCUCAAAGCCAAUGACAGCAAAGGGAGUAAUGUUGGCCGUGGUUGUAGCAAUGAUAGAAGCAAAAACGACAACACGGAUUAUGAUGAUG
This 311-nucleotide long non-coding RNA is filed under the name Sorghum bicolor (sorghum). RNAcentral's name for it is "long non-coding RNA (SBIC_LNC003653)". The record is from RNAcentral. Lineage: Eukaryota; Viridiplantae; Streptophyta; Magnoliopsida; Poales; Poaceae.